Molecule: long non-coding RNA, 1546 nt
Filed under: Lepidothrix coronata (blue-crowned manakin)
Lineage: Eukaryota; Metazoa; Chordata; Aves; Passeriformes; Pipridae
Description: lncRNA (ENSLCOG00000007493.1)
Source: RNAcentral
AUUUUACGUGUACUGGAGAGAGCACUGAAGGUUCUUUUGUGUUUGCAUUACUCAGGGGUGUAAACAGUCCAUCUUUUAGUCAAAAUUGUGGAAACCAAAAGCUUGCUGUUAAAAUGAAUUGUUUUGGAUAACUGUUCAGGUGUCCACUUGCGAAAUCUUCACUCCUACAUGGAGGAGGCCAUUAAGUGCAGUGCCUGUGAGGCAGUUUUUCACGAACGCUACGCUUUCCUUCAGCACAGGAAGACUCACAGAGGAGGAAAAGGAUUCAAAUGUGCUCAGUGCAGCUACACGUGUAAUCAGAAAAAUAUGCGUAAGCAUGCUGAAAAUUGUGGAUUGGGGAGGACAGAAACUGCUGCACCCAGAAAAAGAAGCAAGGAGAAAAAUAAAAUCCGGGAGAACCCCAAGCGUGUUAAGUCAGAAGGUAAUCAGCAAUGCCUAAGGAAUGCAGGAGCGUGUGGAGGUGCUGCCGGCUCCAUCCUGCCAGGAGAACAGCCCAGGAGGGACCUGCUGUUCCUGCCGGGCUCCCCUCGCCUGGCAGAUGCAGGCUGGCUGCAGGAGGUCACUGUGGGCAGCCAGGCUGCCCUAAUGUGGGGUUUUCUCCUUCUCAGGAGCAGCUGAUUGAGUCGGAACAAUACUCUGCUUUCCCCAUUUGGUGAUGAAGACUGACAGUUUGUAGGAGAUGAGUCAAAGGUCACUGAUGAGAAGAUCCAUCCAGAUAAUUGCUGUAAUUGCACCCUGAGGAUGCAGCUCCUGUCACAAAGCAUCAGGCAGUGACUCUGUUGGUAAAUAUAUACUUGGAAGUGAACUUCAUCCUGUGCUUUAAAUCAGGAAAGUUCGUUCAUGAGAUAUAAAUGGAGAAAGUUCUCUUUUUUUCUUAAUCCAGCCAUGUUUUCUCCUGUUGGCAGAUGAAUAGGAAAUAGCCCCAUUCUGAAACAGAGGAGUAAUUGUGAUUUAAACAUAAAAUUGCCAUUUAGUGUUAAAUCCUUUGAUGAAUACACAAGCUGUUGUUACUUCACAACAAAUAUCAAUAAGCAGCAUGAAUGAAUGAAUAUACAUAAUUCAUAAUAUUUAACUUGAAAGUGAAACUUUUUCUUAUAGUGAUUGAUUCAUUUUUUUAUGUUUGUCCAGUGACUUCUUUACAACUUAAUACAAAAACCUUUUCUGAUGGAGAGUGAACAGUAACAGAUACAAGCAGCAGGCCUGCCACAAAAUUAGCUCUUUAUUUCACCCUUUCACAAGGCCCAGAAAUCAGCAAUGCUAAAAUAUUAGGAUGAGAAUUCAUAGUGGGGAAUCAGAAGCAAUGAAAGGAUGUAAAAUUUCUCAGAUUAUCAGUACUUGCUGUUAAAUUAAAACUCAACUAUUCUGAUGCAAAACUCAAAAUUAAGAGCCUCAUAACAGCUAGGUAGCAAUUUUAGAUAUUGGGGCCCUAGUUUCUUAAACUUGUAGAUGAGAGGAAGGUGAAACCAUUUGGAUUUCCUAGAAAACAUAAGGAGUUUGAGGUUAUUUAUACGUCUCAAAAUGCAAUAAAAUAUAAAUCUAACUUUCA